GGCCUAACACAUGCAAGUCGAGCGGUAGAGAGAAGCUUGCUUCUCUUGAGAGCGGCGGACGGGUGAGUAAUGCCUAGGAAUCUGCCUGGUAGUGGGGGAUAACGUUCGGAAACGGACGCUAAUACCGCAUACGUCCUACGGGAGAAAGCAGGGGACCUUCGGGCCUUGCGCUAUCAGAUGAGCCUAGGUCGGAUUAGCUAGUUGGUGAGGUAAUGGCUCACCAAGGCGACGAUCCGUAACUGGUCUGAGAGGAUGAUCAGUCACACUGGAACUGAGACACGGUCCAGACUCCUACGGGAGGCAGCAGUGGGGAAUAUUGGACAAUGGGCGAAAGCCUGAUCCAGCCAUGCCGCGUGUGAAGAAGGUCUUCGGAUUGUAAAGCACUUUAAGUUGGGAGGAAGGGCAGUUACCUAAUACGUGAUUGUUUUGACGUUACCGACAGAAUAAGCACCGGCUAACUCUGUGCCAGCAGCCGCGGUAAUACAGAGGGUGCAAGCGUUAAUCGGAAUUACUGGGCGUAAAGCGCGCGUAGGUGGUUAGUUAAGUUGGAUGUGAAAUCCCCGGGCUCAACCUGGGAACUGCAUUCAAAACUGACUGACUAGAGUAUGGUAGAGGGUGGUGGAAUUUCCUGUGUAGCGGUGAAAUGCGUAGAUAUAGGAAGGAACACCAGUGGCGAAGGCGACCACCUGGACUGAUACUGACACUGAGGUGCGAAAGCGUGGGGAGCAAACAGGAUUAGAUACCCUGGUAGUCCACGCCGUAAACGAUGUCAACUAGCCGUUGGGAGCCUUGAGCUCUUAGUGGUGCAGCUAACGCAUUAAGUUGACCGCCUGGGGAGUACGGCCGCAAGGUUAAAACUCAAAUGAAUUGACGG
Molecule: ribosomal RNA, 874 nt
Filed under: uncultured Pseudomonas sp.
Lineage: Bacteria; Pseudomonadati; Pseudomonadota; Gammaproteobacteria; Pseudomonadales; Pseudomonadaceae
Description: bacterial SSU rRNA
Rfam family: Bacterial small subunit ribosomal RNA
Source: RNAcentral